GCCUACGGGGGGCAGCAGUAGGGAAUCUUCCACAAUGGGCGCAAGCCUGAUGGAGCAACACCGCGUGAGUGAAGAAGGGUUUCGGCUCGUAAAGCUCUGUUGUUGGAGAAGAACGUGCGUGAGAGUAACUGUUCACGCAGUGACGGUAUCUAACCAGAAAGCCACGGCUAACUACGUGCCAGCAGCCGCGGUAAUACGUAGGUGGCAAGCGUUAUCCGGAUUUAUUGGGCGUAGAGGGAACGCAGGCGGGCUUUUAAGUCUGAUGUGAAAGCCUUCGGCUUAACCGG
Molecule: ribosomal RNA, 287 nt
Filed under: uncultured bacterium
Lineage: Bacteria
Description: partial 16S ribosomal RNA
Rfam family: Bacterial small subunit ribosomal RNA
Source: RNAcentral